GCCAGGUACAGUGGCGCAUGCCUGUAAUCCAGCUGCUCAGGAGGCUGAGCCAGGAGGAUCAUGAGUUAAAACCAGCUUCAGCAAAAGCAAGAUGCUAAGCAACUUAGUGAAACCCUGUCUCUA
This 123-nucleotide small RNA is filed under the name Marmota monax (woodchuck). The record is from RNAcentral. Lineage: Eukaryota; Metazoa; Chordata; Mammalia; Rodentia; Sciuridae.